CGCGACGUUUGAAACAGGCCUAAGCCUUUUGCAUAUCAUUCAUUCGAUCACAUUUGCCAGGAGAAGAAAAAUCGCCGACAGAAUGGCUAGUGUGAACCAGGCUUUAAGAAGAGCAACAUGACUUGACAUGGUAAGCGAAUUUUGUAUAGAGGGAACGGUAUAUAGCCUGAACCUGUUAUGUCCAUGCAAGAUGGUGGCUCGCUAGCGUUUAUGACGUGAGCUAUAACAAUAAAGUUCCCGUUAUAUUAGACUUCAAAUGUGCUUCCUGCAUGUAUGUCUAUAAGGGUUUGAAUCUAAUAUAACUGGAACUUUAUAGUUUUCCAUAUUAACAGGAAACGAAUACUUAUCAAUUUUUUCUUUUUCAUAAAGGCGCAGGCACAGGGCUGGAUAGAUUUGGGAACGUGAUGAAAUUUGAACGCACGAUUUUGUUAAUGUAGGCGCUUUCUGAACUCCAACCCUUCCCAGCAAAGAAAUACGUAUUGUUGCGAG
Paramuricea clavata is the source of this 489-nucleotide non-coding RNA. The record is from the annotation of a GenBank genome assembly. Lineage: Eukaryota; Metazoa; Cnidaria; Anthozoa; Malacalcyonacea; Plexauridae.